UAUCCUGGUGUUCAUGGCGAUGUGGAACCACUCCGAUCCAUCUCGAACUCGGUUGUGAAACGCAUCAGCGGCGAAAAUAUUUAGGGGGUAGCCCCUUGAGAAAAUAGCUCAAUGCCAGGUAA
RNAcentral lists this ribosomal RNA (122 nucleotides) under Prochlorococcus marinus str. MIT 9107. The record is from RNAcentral. RNAcentral also lists the same sequence under 13 other names. Lineage: Bacteria; Bacillati; Cyanobacteriota; Cyanophyceae; Synechococcales; Prochlorococcaceae.